Molecule: unclassified non-coding RNA, 250 nt
Filed under: Hevea brasiliensis (rubber tree)
Lineage: Eukaryota; Viridiplantae; Streptophyta; Magnoliopsida; Malpighiales; Euphorbiaceae
Source: RNAcentral
GGGUCAUCUAGAUGGUUUAGGUUUUGGGUUUGUUUGAGCUGGACGAAGUGUAAGUAAAUUCUGAUUUUUAAGAGAUAGGUUAUUAGAGAAAGAUAUUGGGCUAGAGCAUGGUUGUAUACUAUUUAAAGUGAGGGUGGGACAUCUUGAGGGGAUAUGUAUGGGCUUACCUUCGAUUUCAGCUCAGGAAAGUCCAGAGAGGGUAAGUGUGGCCAGGGCUUAGUAUCUAUGUGGGCUGAAAUUUCCAUUUCUU